This 253-nucleotide ribosomal RNA is filed under the name uncultured bacterium. RNAcentral's name for it is "partial 16S ribosomal RNA". It matches the Rfam family "Bacterial small subunit ribosomal RNA", at positions 524 to 776 of the family's 1533-position model. The record is from RNAcentral.
UACAGAGGUCUCAAGCGUUGUUCGGAUUCAUUGGGCGUAAAGAGCUUGUAGGCGGUUUGUCGCGUCUGCUGUGAAAUUUCGGGGCUCAACCCCGAACUUGCAGUGGGUACGGGCAGACUAGAGUGUGGUAGGGGAGACUGGAAUUCCUGGUGUAGCGGUGAAAUGCGCAGAUAUCAGGAGGAACACCGAUGGCGAAGGCAGGUCUCUGGGCCAUAACUGACGCUGAGAAGCGAAAGCAUGGGGAGCGAACAGG